This 621-nucleotide ribosomal RNA is filed under the name uncultured Pezizales. RNAcentral describes it as "eukaryotic LSU rRNA". The stretch from base 246 to 399 matches the Rfam family "5.8S ribosomal RNA". Lineage: Eukaryota; Fungi; Ascomycota; Pezizomycetes; Pezizales. The record is from RNAcentral.
UCUUGGUCAUUUAGAGGAAGUAAAAGUCGUAACAAGGUUUCCGUAGGUGAACCUGCGGAAGGAUCAUUAAAAGUGAUAAGUGCUCCCAGCGCGUAUUAUGACACCCAUCUGUGUAUCUUACCUGUUGCUUCCGUGGGUGGUUGGCCAAGGCCACACCCCCCAAACGUGGGGAACCCACGGGAGGUCUCCAUCAAACCAUUGCUUUCAAUGAUAUCUGUCUGAAUUGUCUCAAUGAGAAAACUUAAAACUUUCAACAACGGAUCUCUUGGUUCUCGCAUCGAUGAAGAACGCAGCGAAAUGCGAUAAGUAGUGUGAAUUGCAGAAUUCAGUGAAUCAUCGAAUCUUUGAACGCACAUUGCGCCUCCUGGCAUUCCGGGAGGCAUGCCUGUUCGAGCGUCAUUAAAACCGACUCAAGCAUGUUUGCUUGGACUUGGAGGAAGAGCGUGCCCUUUGGGUGGGUUCCCCUCCGAAAUGCAAUGGCGGAUGGUCCAUGUGGACACCGACGUAGUAAGAGCAAUCUCUCGUCGUGGCCCUGGAUCGUCCCGCCCACAAUCCCCACAAACAAUCAUGGUUGACCUCGGAUCAGGUAGGGAUACCCGCUGAACUUAAGCAUAUCAAUAA